GAGGGACGGCCCCUCGGAACCGGCUUACAGGAGCGGGUUCCAAACCGCCGCUAAGCUGCUUUAGUUAAAUGCUUUGGUAGUGAGCGUUAGCGGAAAAGGCAUCAUUAAAGGUGUCAGGU
Molecule: non-coding RNA, 119 nt
Filed under: Mucilaginibacter sp. OK283
Lineage: Bacteria; Pseudomonadati; Bacteroidota; Sphingobacteriia; Sphingobacteriales; Sphingobacteriaceae
Source: RNAcentral